Molecule: ribosomal RNA, 480 nt
Filed under: uncultured bacterium
Lineage: Bacteria
Description: partial 16S ribosomal RNA
Rfam family: Bacterial small subunit ribosomal RNA
Source: RNAcentral
GACGAACGCUGGCGGCGUGCUUAACACAUGCAAGUCGAGCGAUGAAGCACCUUCGGGUGUGGAUUAGCGGCGAACGGGUGAGGAACACGUGAGGAAUCUGCCUUCCACUCUGGGAUAACUCCGGGAAACCGGGGCUAAUACCGGAUACUUUCAACUGGCGGCAUCGCCGGUUGAAGAAAGUUUUUCGGUGGAAGAUGACCACGCGCCCUAUCAGCGUGUUGGUGAGGUAAUGGCUCACCAAGGCGACGACGGGUAGCCGGCCUGAGAGGGCGACCGGCCACACUGGGACUGAGACACGGCCCAGACUCCUACGGGAGGCAGCGGUGGGGAAUAUUGGGCAAUGGAGGAAACUCUGACACAGCGACGCCGCGUGAGGGAUGAAGGCCUUCGGGUUGUAAACCUCUUUCAGCAGUGAAUAAGCGAAAGUGAAGGUACCUGCAGAAGAAGCACCGGCUAACUAUGUGCCAGCAGCCGCGGUAA